GUAUUAUUUUAUCCGUACGAUUAAUUAAGAUUUUUUUGGUUGAAUGAAUUAGAUGAAUUUAUUGAGCUUCGAAAAUAGAAAUGUUUAUUAAUUAUUUUUUUUUGAAGAAUAGAAUUCGUUUAAAUAAUGAGAUUCGAUAAUGAAUUUUGACCGCAUAAUAACGUUACAAUUUGCAAGAUAAAUCAAUAAUCCGUGGUCUCGUAACUGUUCCGUUAUAUAUAUAAUACGGAACUAAAGAGAAAUAAAUAUAAAUUUAUAUUAAACACAAGGGGAAACGUAUAGAAAAAAUAAAUGUGUGAAACGGAAAAUGAGAUUGUAACUAAAUAAAAAUAUAGUUGAUAUUAUAACAAACGUGAAAUUACACGAAACAAGAAGAAGAUAAUUAACGUUGCGAUGCAUUUUAAUUCCGCGGAACACAAUGUUUACACGAAACAGCAUCCAAAUAAAUCAUUACGAGCAAUCUCAUAAAAUAGAAAUAUUUACACACGCAAUAUCCAACUACUGGCUUAAUUUUCAAAAAUUUAUUUUACAAUUUUACAAUUGUAUUCGAACGAUAUAAAAUUCCAUCGUGUACAAAUAAACAGACACGUUUACCAAAACAUUAUUUCCACUUUCUAAUUCAACAUCUUAACCACAUAUACGCCUAUAUCCAUCUAUAUAUAUAUCUCUCAAAAAAUCGAUUUCUUCGAAUUAAUAUAAUCGAACAAUUCAUCUCGAUUUAUAACAUCAUCAGAUUCAUAAUCGACACAUCUUUGGUCCGUUUAAAAUCUCGACCAAAUUACGGAAAUAAAUUUGCUUGGUCACAAAGUGGGCCGUCUCGACUCGAGUAGAAAACAAUCGUAUCGUAUUACCGAAAGCCGCGUUUCCAGAGUGUCGAAAUUUCCAAUGGUGAAAUUUCCUUGGUAUUAGUCUUAGAAUUCUCGGGCCGAUUUAUGAGAGGACGAAGAGGAUGGGGAGAGGGGAGCGCACAAGGAGCGGCAUCAAAACGGCAAGUGCAUUUCGCGGCAAACGAGGCUCCCGACAUCUCGGUGUAAUCAGACACCGAGUGGGGAGUGGUGCAAAUGUAAUUGAAAACAUCCGUGAUGCAUCCUCUGAUCCAUGCCGCGCGCUCCCUUUUUCUCCUUCUUUCGCCGCAACGUUGCGCGCCACCCCUCUGUCCCCGUAAUUAAAAGUCGUUUCCCCGUGAUUUCUGCCCCCCCCUUCCGCGUUUUACCUGUUAUACACGCGCGCACCUGUUUCCUCUGCCGCGUUUUCAAUGCUCUUUUCAAUGCGAUUGUGUUACGCAUUUGUGGAAACGCGGAACUCGUUACACUUUGUAUAUACGCGCACUCUUUUUAAUCAGCGGUAAUACGCUGGGAGAAGAUGGGACGCGUUGUUGAGAUGUCGGGGUAAAUUGUUUUAUCGAGCUUGAUUCUUUAGUUAUCUUCUUAUUUCUUUUUUGGUUUUUGUUUUCGUUCUCUUUCAUUAUUAUUGUGUAUAAAAGAAAUUAACGUGAUGGAUAUUUAGAUAAUUUUAAAUAUUGUGAAAUGAAUAACUGAAUAAGAGAGAUGGGCAAAAUUUUAAUAGCGAUUGAAGUUAGAAAUAAAGUUACUUUAUGAUAAUUUGUUAUAUGCGAAGCAUCGAAUAACCGCAGAUAUAUCGUAUUACCGAAUGAAGAGGAAAGUUAUACGAAGAGGGAAUAAUGGUUACUGGUUUGAAUGUUAUUUUAAAUAAAAAAAUUAAAGUAACUUUAUUUUUAACCAAUUUUAUAAUUCCAUCUUCUGUAUCUAAUGCAUAGAAAAUUGAUAAGUAUUCUCGAUAAUACAGGGAUGGAUACUUUUCUUUAUGGAAAAAAUUUAGUUCAAUAAAUAUUAAAUAACCGAUCAUUCGUAUCCACUUAAACGAAACAACAAUAAUUGUUCCUAAAAUACGGACCAUUACAAUCCCUUACCGCCCCUUCAAGCAACACAAUACACAUUUACCAUUUUUAUUUUAAAUAAAAAAAUUAAAGUAACUUUAUCUUUAACCAAUUUUAUAAUUCCAUCUUCUGUAUCUAAUGCAUGGAAAAUUGAUAAGUAUUCUCGAUAAUACAGGGAUGGAUACUUUUCUUUAUGGAAAAAAUUUAGUUCAAUAAAUAUUAAAUAACCGAUCAUUCGUAUCCACUUAAACGAAACAACAAUAAUUGUUCCUAAAAUACGGACCAUUACAAUCCCUUACCGCCCCUUCAAGCGACACAAUACACAUUUACCGCGCGCGUAUCCGUGAAAUCGUGGAACUUUUCAGAAACGUUCGUAGACCAUGCCCUCGGAGAGGAGCGCGAUAAUGCGUUUCCAAGUAGCCGAAAGUAGGUGUAAAUACGGGCGGAAGAUUUUUUUUUUUUUUUUUCUCCCUCCGGCAUCGUGGAAUAUUAGGUGAAAGGAGCCGACAAAGAAGGUUCCCUUUUUAUCGCGAAUAAUUCUCAAUGGAGAAAAGUUUUUUUUUUUUUUUCCCUUCUUACAAAACCCCCUUCCCCCCCCUUUUAGUCGUACUAUCGUCGUGUACACACGUGAACGAUCGUGGUGAAAGAGGGGAAAAAGAGAAAAGGGGGCGGGGGGACGAAAAAGAGAGCGGAGAGAAGAGAGAGGAGAGAUCUGAAAAGGUACGCAGAGUACCGCCUCUGAUGAAUGCCGCAACCAGUGGCCACCAUGUUUUCCCUUCACUGGUCCGCCCUACUACGAAACAUCCCCCCGCGCGUCCCCCUCUGGCCGAUUUUCCAACCCCUCGCCAAACCGCGAUUGAACCCUUGUACACGUUAGUAUGCGCAUCAGAGGAAUACAUUUUGCAGACAGGCGGCGGUGCACGAGCCGGAGAGUGUAAUAUCGAUAAUAAUUACGCCACUCGUAGCGUUUGCCGAAUAACUAACCGGACAAGAUUUUUCGUGAACAUCGUGCACCGCUUAAUCGAACUGGUUGAUUCGUGAUAAAAGAGCUUCUUUUCAUCGUCUUCACGUCGAAAAUUUUUCCUCUUUAAUUGAAUUCAGAUAUGAUUAUUCCCUUCUUUAAAUCUGUUAGAUUUAAGAUUAUAAUCGUAUCGUUGCGUUACUUUCUUUUAAACAUGUUUUAAAUUGUUUGAUGUGUUUUCUUCACUUAAGGAUAUUACAAUAAUAAUAUCACUUCUAGCAUACGGAAAAAACUAUUUACUUAUCCCGAUUCAUUUCAAUAAAAGACUCUCGCAUUUUAGCGAAAACAAAGUAACAAAACUUCAAUACACUCCAUCAUACAUAUUAGAUCCUUUAUACGAUCGGAAAGAACCAACCGACAAAGAAAAAAGAAAAAAAAAAAAAGACACGCCCGACUAAAAAGGAAAGUAUCAACGUACAAAAAGACCAAGUCUCGCAUCAAAAGCGUAUACAUACGUAUAUAUACAUAUAUAUAUAUAUUAACCAAAGUAAUCCGCCGCUUCGUUUGCAACGCGAUGCGCGCGCCGCGCGUUUGAGGAAGAGAAGCGCGGAACGAGGAAGAGAAGCCACGAGGAGGAGGAAGAGGAGGAGGAGGAGAACCGCCUUGAAAAAAGAAGGGGAGGAGAGGAGAGAAGAAAAAAAAAAAGAGAGCGAAAAACCGACCGAUAAACAAACCAUACCGCUCGGAUCGCGGCCGCUUUAAUCUUUCUUUCGAGGCAUCAUCGGCCGCCUUUUGCGGCAUUCAAUGAAAAGGAGGAACGAAAGGCUGGGGCUCCUGCCCUCCGCUUUCCUUCCCCCAAAUCCAAUCCCCUUCCACCCCUCCACUCAUUAUGGCAACAUGCGGUAAGUAUACUGGUGUUUAAGUCUCGCUGGUACCCCUCGAUUGCCAGGGGUUGGUCGAGGGUACGGCAUUAAGUUAUACAUUCGUAUAUAUUCGUGCCCGGUAAAAAGUGCCAUAGAUUGGAUACCAUACCAUAGGCUGGAACGUGAAACGAACACGGCAAGCGUGCGCGCGAGCUGUGCCCUCGAAGGUCGGAGGGACAAGGACAGGGUGGAAGAGCAUCCCUUAUUCUGCGGCGGCUCGUUGUAUGGCUCGACGCAUCCGAAUACUCUCACUCCCCUGAUCCCGGGGAUUCCAGGUGGUUUCUGACUCCCUUCCCUCCCCCCCCCCCUCCCCCCUCGCGCUCGCUAUACGCCCUCUCGAAAAUUAGGUAGCCUGAAUCCACAGCUGCGAUUCGCAACAACGUCGAAAGGAUCAAGGAUACCGCACGCGGAUAUCUGCUGCGAUUCUUUCUUUCUUUCUUUCUUUUUCCAGACGUUUCCGGCGGUAUUGUUUCGUGCACUCGAUGUUACGUGAUAAUAUAACGACAGUAAUAUAAAGAUAAAAAUGAAAUUGUUUAAAUUUUAAACAAUUGAUUAGGACGAAAACGAAUGUUUCAUUUUCAUCAUAUUAAAUCAGUAGUAAUAAUUUAAUUGACGUAACGAAAUAAAGCCAUUCUCCAAGAUUCAAUUUUUCGUUGUGUUAUAAUAGUUGUAAAUGGGUUUCUCUGUUUUUCCGUUAAGAGAAGCUUCUGACCGAAAAUACCCCAUUGCUGGCAAAUUUUAACCAUUACCGCGUCCAGUGGAGACUCGAACCAGGUAACUCGGAAUCCUCGGGAUCGACCGGUCAGGUAGUGAAAAAAAACCGGUGUUGGUCCGCGCCGCCCAGAGAUAAUCCAUGUAGCCACGGUGGCGGGACUUACUUGCCCCCUCCUCUUCACUAGCAUACAGUGGCCAACCCCUAUAAGAAGCAACGAUACCGCGGCUGAAAAGCUGCUGCGAAUAACGUGCUUACGCGCGAUCAUCCGACCGCGAUCCUCAAUACCCGUGACAGAUCAAGCUGCGCGCGCCUCUUUCUCUAUCUCUUUCCUUUCUUCUCCCCGCUCCUUCUCCCCCCACCCUCCCCCUCGGAUGAAUCGAACAUAAGCUGGCCGCGUUAAACAGCGAGAGAACAGCGGCUGGCCAAUGGGCGGUGUGACGUAAACGCGGACGCUCCCUUGUGGCGAACAAUCGUCGUGUUUGCCGACACAAUUUCCACGGAUUAAAAUCAUAAGAGCAAGGAGGACCGGUUAGGAUUUUUUUCUUCCCGAGUUAUGGAUGGCUGCAUUUCCGCGCGGACGCCGCUCUGUGUCGGGGAUUUUCGUGACCGCUUCACUGAAGUUUGACUAUUUGAGAGAUGGAUCAUGAGUUUUCUGGGAAAAAAGAAAAAAAAGAAGAAGAAGAAUAAGAUAGAUAAAACGAUCGGCAAAUAACAGUUGGAUUGAUAGUUCGAUUCGAUUUUUAUUAAAAUUUUGCUUUCUAAUUCUUAUACUUCCAUAAUUGAUUUCUUAAAUUUUAUAUAUAUAUACUUGCUUUCAACGUAUAUAUUUCAUACAUCCUUCCAAUUUAAGCAUCCAAAAAAAACAUCUUCGUUCAAUUUGUCCUACAUUUUAUCGUUCCCAUCGUAUAAGGUUCACACGAAGAAAAAAAAAUGAGAGUACACACACACACACAUACACACAUGUCUCGUCUUUUCGAAUUCUGAAAAGUCGAGGGAUCCAGAUUUGACCGCGAUCGAAAGUCAAAGGCAUAUUCGAUCCUCGGCCGUCGGCGGACAGCGGACGGAUUCGAUAUCGGGUCCUGAUGAAGGCUUCUCGAAUGUCGUGUCAGCCACUCUUGGAACCGAGAGGGAAGAGAGGCAGAAAUAAAAUAGAAAGGGAGAUCGAGAGCGGGGAGGCCGCAUUCCUAGACGGCUUACCGGUCGGUUAUCGCGGCAGCCAUCGCUCGUCUUCUCAUAUCCAAAGGUGGCGGAUUUGUUUCUUCCUCUUAUCCGACCCUUAAGCAGAGGCUUUUGCGCGGGGGUGGCGGGCCGGUGGUACAAAGGCACCCUAGGGACGCAACAACGGUAUCAUCUUCGGAAGGACGGAAAGCUACCGAAUUUUCGAAUCGUUCGAACGUGUCGGUUCGAAUUUUUUCCAGGCUCGUGGCCACGUCUCAUGGAUAUGAAGCUGUCUCGCGUCCCAUUGUUUGAAGGCUCUCGGCUUUCGAAUCUCUUUUUUCUUUUUUUCGAUUUUAGAUCGAUGUGGUAAAAUGCCGAAUGAUCGAAUUAAUCGAGGAAAACGUUUGGAACGAUACGACAUAUCUGAAAAAAAAAAGGUAUCGUUAAUAUUUCUAUUCUCUGUUAUAAUUAUAAUUAUACAAUAUCAUUAUUGUUUAUCCUCAUUUUAUAAAAGUUAAGGAAAUUAGAAUAUUCGAAAUGGCAUAUUCAAGAUGUUAGAACUUCGCAUAAGGGUCUCGUGUUACGUAAACGAUCGAGAAGAGAAAAGUCAAUUCGCGAAUAUUUAUGAUGCAACGAUUACAAGGAAUAACAGCGAAACGAAUCAGGGAACGGUCCCCCUGGAUUAUAUCCCCUUUUCGCUAUUAUAGGGAACCACCCAUGCAUGAGAACAAACGUGAUUUUAUCAAAGACUAUGAAACCGAGCAGAUUUAAUACUCUUGGACCAAUAUCAAUUGCGCAAUAGAAACAAAAUUUUUUCUGGAAAAAAAAAAUUCCACAACUGCUAAGUUUAAGCCGCGAGAAUGUACGAGGCCCCAUAAAAUGCAGCUCGAGAACAGAAAGAAUCUGUUGGAGAAGGAUCAAUUGAGGUCCAGCAUGCCAACCGUUAUCAAAGGGACGUCCAAGCAAGAUUUAAUUAAGAAUUCUUCAAACUAGACAUCCGAGCAGGAUUUCGCGCGGGCCCCUCUACCCCUGCGGGCCCGAUAUAUCCGAAGAAUCAACGUCAGAACGGCAGAAACGAAACGUCAGGGCACGACGGCGCACCAUGGCGCAGUGGAUACAGAAAGGAAAGACAAGAGGAAGACGAGACAUUGGAAGGUUCGCGUUUCGAGCCGGUAGCACGAACAAGCGUCCUCUUGGCCUCCUCUCGGCACCGGCAAAGCAUUCCUCGUGUCAGAACUUCACAAAGAUCCUCCGGUUAACAGAGAAUCGAGAGACUAAGAAGGAGAGAAAGAGCAGCGGGAUACUUCGACGAGGGGCUACUGGUUUCUCCGCGAGAUUCUUGAUGAGAAAACGCGUGGUUCCGUUCCGUUCCUUCGUCAAAAAGUCGCUGCGUGCUCCCGUACGAUUCGUAAGAGCGUCACAGCGUGAGUUUUGUGCCCUCUAUCCACGAUGUGUCCAUAUAAAUUUCAGCGACGUUUUCGUCGGGAUCCUGAAAAUAUAUUUCUAGUAAAAAAAAGAGGAAGAAAGAGAGAGUAAAAAAGAAAAAGAAAUCAUGAGAAAUUGAGAUGAUCGAUGGAUAGAUUUGUAAUUUUGAAUAGAAGAAGAAAUUUGAAAGCGUUGCAAAUUGUGUGAGAGAUAAUAGAAAAAUUAUUAAUUGAUUUAAUGUAUUGAAGUAAAACAAAAACUAAGUAAUAUAUCAAGAAAUGGAAGAAAUAUCAGAAGACAUUGUAAAGAUGCUAAGUACUACUCACUUAAGAUACUACUCACUAAUAGUAUUAUAUCAUUCAUUCUAUCUCCAAUUUGAGAUAUCCUUUUAAAAACUUAAAUUAUUAAUUGUGAAAAGAACAUUUUUUUUAUUUCAUUUAUAAGAAAUAUUUGUGUCUAUUGCUUCUUACCAAUGAAGCAUAAAAUAAUAAAAGAG
Molecule: RNA transcript, 7575 nt
Organism: Apis mellifera (honey bee)
Lineage: Eukaryota; Metazoa; Arthropoda; Insecta; Hymenoptera; Apidae
Exons: 4
Source: RefSeq, a predicted model, not a curated record